CAGCAGGUUCCAUCUGUGGUCGUGGUGGUAGGACUGGGAGCGAAACACAGACGUGAAGUCUCUUCCUGUUCGUCCAAGAGGAUCCCACGAGCAAGGAGCACCAUCCAACCUUUCAUCAUUCUGUUUCCCAUCCCUGCAUAACAGUCCACUUUCCAAGUGUGAAAGUGAGACGAGUGGUGCUGGGGAGGGUCUUUCCUGUGUGAGAGCCAGGAGCAACACGUGACACGCCCCCACAUACUCCACCCACCACCAAUACAGCACGCAACAACUCCCUUACCCACUGGUCUGCAAAAACUGUACACGGUUUGAUAGAGGUCUGUGGCCCACAAAAGGUUGGGGCCACUGUAUUAACCAACAACACAGAGGAUGAAAAAUGAGUUAAAUUCCACGCUUUUCAGGUGAUAUAGUUUUCCCCAUAGUAAAAGCAUACAUUUUUGCAAGUCAGCAUGGCUCCUUGUUUGUACGCUGCCACAGUUGUCCCCAACCACAUGUACCAGUCC
RNAcentral lists this long non-coding RNA (500 nucleotides) under Gouania willdenowi (blunt-snouted clingfish). Its description in RNAcentral is "lncRNA (ENSGWIG00000018158.1)". The record is from RNAcentral. Lineage: Eukaryota; Metazoa; Chordata; Actinopteri; Blenniiformes; Gobiesocidae.